GAAAUGCGAUAAGUAAUGUGAAUUGCAGAAUUCAGUGAAUCAUCGAAUCUUUGAACGCACAUUGCGCCCGCCAGUAUUCUGGCGGGCACGCCUGUUCGAGCGUCAUUACAACCCUCAGGCCCCCGGGCCUGGCGUUGGGGAUCGGCGGAAGCCCCCUGCGGGCACAACGCCGUCCCCCAAAUACAGUGGCGGUCCCGCCGCAGCUUCCAUUGCGUAGUAGCUAACACCUCGCAACUGGAGAGCAGCGCGGCCACGCCGUAAAACACCCAACUUCUGAAUGUUGACCUCGAAUCAGGUAGGAAUACCCGCUGAACUUAAGC
RNAcentral lists this unclassified non-coding RNA (320 nucleotides) under plant metagenome. RNAcentral's name for it is "partial contains 5.8S ribosomal RNA, internal transcribed spacer 2, and large subunit ribosomal RNA". The stretch from base 1 to 105 matches the Rfam family "5.8S ribosomal RNA", at positions 50 to 154 of the family's 154-position model. The record is from RNAcentral.